Molecule: non-coding RNA, 28 nt
Filed under: Rattus norvegicus (Norway rat)
Lineage: Eukaryota; Metazoa; Chordata; Mammalia; Rodentia; Muridae
Source: RNAcentral
CGACUGCGCUGGGCUUGGGCUGCGGGUC